GGCAUUCUAAAUAUAUUCACUCAUAUAAUCGCGAGAAUAGGGCUCGCAAGUUUCUACCGGUUUACCGUAAAUAAGCCGACUAUGAGCAGCAAAAAUAUUGAU
Molecule: non-coding RNA, 102 nt
Filed under: Sporosarcina sp.
Lineage: Bacteria; Bacillati; Bacillota; Bacilli; Caryophanales; Caryophanaceae
Also listed under: 1 other name
Description: Guanine sequence
Rfam family: Purine riboswitch aptamer
About the family: Riboswitches are metabolite binding domains within certain messenger RNAs that serve as precision sensors for their corresponding targets. Allosteric rearrangement of mRNA structure is mediated by ligand binding, and this results in modulation of gene expression.
Source: RNAcentral